GAUUAUUGGGCCUAAGCAUCCGUAGCCUGUUCUACAAGUCCUCCGUUAAAUCCACCUGCUCAACAGAUGGGCUGCGGGGGAUACUAUAGGGCUAGGAGGCGGGAGAGGCAAACGGUACUCAGUGGGUAGGGGUAAAAUCCAUUGAUCUACUGAAGACCACCAGUGGCGAAGGCGGUUUGCCAGAACGCGCUCGACGGUGAGGGAUGAAAGCUGGGGGAGCAAACCGGAUUAGAUACCCGGGUAGUCCCAGCUGUAAACGAUGCAGACUCGGUGAUGGGUUGGCUUCGCGCCAACCCAGUGCCGCAGGGAAGCCGUUAAGUCUGCCGCCUGGGGAGUACGGUCGCAAGACUGAAACUUAAACGAAUUGGCGGGGGAGCACA
This 380-nucleotide ribosomal RNA is filed under the name uncultured archaeon. RNAcentral describes it as "bacterial SSU rRNA". It matches the Rfam family "Archaeal small subunit ribosomal RNA", at positions 497 to 880 of the family's 1478-position model. The record is from RNAcentral.